Molecule: small RNA, 63 nt
Filed under: Salmonella enterica subsp. enterica serovar Enteritidis
Lineage: Bacteria; Pseudomonadati; Pseudomonadota; Gammaproteobacteria; Enterobacterales; Enterobacteriaceae
Description: RtT sRNA
Rfam family: RtT RNA
About the family: This family represents a bacterial cis-regulatory element known as RtT RNA. The exact function of RtT is unknown although it is thought that it may be involved in changing the cellular response in relation to amino acid starvation.
Source: RNAcentral
CGACUAAGGUUCGAUUCGAGCGACAGCGAGAAAGCGUUGCCGCAGGCAACGACCCGAAGGGCG